Molecule: ribosomal RNA, 253 nt
Filed under: uncultured bacterium
Lineage: Bacteria
Description: partial 16S ribosomal RNA
Rfam family: Bacterial small subunit ribosomal RNA
Source: RNAcentral
UACGUAGGGUGCAAGCGUUGUCCGGAAUUAUUGGGCGUAAAGAGCUCGUAGGCGGUUUGUUGCGUCGGCUGUGAAAUCCCGAGGCUCAACCUCGGGUCUGCAGUCGAUACGAGCAAACUAGAGUGUUGCAGGGGAGACUGGAAUUCUCGGUGUAGCGGUGAAAUGCGUAGAUAUCGAGAGGAACACCUGCGGCGAAGGCGGGUUGCUGGGCUGACACUGACGCUGAGGCGCGAAAGCUAGGGGAGCGAACGGG